UACAGAGGUCUCGAGCGUUAGGCGGAAUCACUGGGCUUAAAGCGUGUGUAGGUGGAUCGUUAAGUACCUUGUGAAAUCCCACGGCUUAACCGCGGAACUGCUUGGUAUACUGGCGGUCUUGAGCCAGCUAGGGGCUACCGGAACAAAUGGUGGAGCGGUGAAAUGCGUAGAUAUCAUUUGGAACGCCAAUGGUGAAAACAGGUAGCUGGGGCUGUGCUGACACUGAGACACGAAAGCCAGGGGAGCAAACGGG
This 253-nucleotide ribosomal RNA is filed under the name uncultured bacterium. Its description in RNAcentral is "partial 16S ribosomal RNA". It matches the Rfam family "Bacterial small subunit ribosomal RNA", at positions 524 to 776 of the family's 1533-position model. The record is from RNAcentral.